Molecule: ribosomal RNA, 253 nt
Filed under: uncultured bacterium
Lineage: Bacteria
Description: partial 16S ribosomal RNA
Rfam family: Bacterial small subunit ribosomal RNA
Source: RNAcentral
UACGGAGGGUGCAAGCGUUAUCCGGAUUUACUGGGUUUAAAGGGUGCGUAGGUGGGCAGUUAAGUCAGUGGUGAAAUCUCCGGGCUUAACCCGGAAACUGCCAUUGAUACUAUCUGUCUUGAAUAUCGUGGAGGUAAGCGGAAUAUGUCAUGUAGCGGUGAAAUGCUUAGAUAUGACAUAGAACACCAAUUGCGAAGGCAGCUUACUACCCGAAUAUUGACACUGAGGCACGAAAGCGUGGGGAUCAAACAGG